UACAGAGGGUGCGAGCGUUGUUCGGAAUUAUUGGGCGUAAAGGGCGCGUAGGCGGUGUUGUAAGUCGCCUGUGAAACCUCUGGGCUUAACUCAGAGCCUGCAGGCGAAACUGCAAUGCUGGAGGGUGGGAGAGGUGCGUGGAAUUUCCAGUGGAGCGGUGAAAUGCGUAGAUAUUGGAAAGAACACCGAUGGCGAAGGCACUCUACUGGGCUAUUACUGACACUCAGAGACGAAAGCUAGGGGCGCAAAUGGG
Molecule: ribosomal RNA, 253 nt
Filed under: uncultured prokaryote
Description: partial 16S ribosomal RNA
Rfam family: Bacterial small subunit ribosomal RNA
Source: RNAcentral